Molecule: ribosomal RNA, 254 nt
Filed under: uncultured bacterium
Lineage: Bacteria
Description: partial 16S ribosomal RNA
Rfam family: Bacterial small subunit ribosomal RNA
Source: RNAcentral
UACGUAGGGUGCAAGCGUUGUCCGGAAUUAUUGGGCGUAAAGAGCUCGUAGGCGGUCUGUCGCGUCUGCUGUGAAAACUCAGGGCUUAACCCUGAGCUUGCAGUCGAUACGGGCAGGCUAGAGUUCGGCAGGGGAGACUGGAAUUCCUGGUGUAGCGGUGAAAUGCGCAGAUAUCAGGAGGAACACCGGUGGCGAAGGCGGGUCUCUGGGCCGUAACUGGACGCUGAGGAGCGAAAGCGUGGGGAGCGAACAGG